This 600-nucleotide ribosomal RNA is filed under the name uncultured bacterium. RNAcentral's name for it is "bacterial SSU rRNA". It matches the Rfam family "Bacterial small subunit ribosomal RNA", at positions 100 to 706 of the family's 1533-position model. The record is from RNAcentral.
GAGGUGCGUAACACGUACACACUAGCUUAUACUAGGAGCAUAGCCUCGGGAAACUGAGAUUAAUUCUCCAUAAUGUUAUGAAGUGGCAUCACUAUAUAACUAAAACUCCGGUGGUAUAAGAUGGGUGUGCGUCCGAUUAGCUAAUUGGUGAGGUAACGGGUCAACAAGGCGACGAUCGGUANCUGGUCUGAGAGGAUGAUCAGCACACGGGCACUGAGACACGGGCCCGACUCCUACGGGAGGCAGCAGUAGGGAAUAUUGGACAAUGGGCGCAAGCCUGAUCCAGCCAUCCCGCGUGAAGGAUUAAGGUCCUAUGGAUUGUAAACUUCUUUUCUCUGGGAAUAAAAACCGGGAUUCAUUCCUGGCUUGAAGGUACCAGAGGAAUAAGCACCGGUAACUCCGUGCCAGCAGCCGCGGUAUACGGAGGGUGCAAGGCGUUAUCCGGAUCCACUGGGUUUAAAGGGUGCGUAGGUGGCUUUAUAAGUCAGUGGUGAAAGCCCGGAGCUUAAUCCGGAAUGCAUUGAUACUGUUAUUUGAUCAUCACAAGGUGGGNUGGAUCUAUCACUUUGUCACGCGGGAAAUGGCUUACAGAGAUUGUCA